CAGGGGUAGGGGGGUGGUCCCUCAGCCCAGAUUGUGAGAGGGCACAGGCCAGGCCGAGGGACCCCACUGGUGCACA
This 76-nucleotide microRNA precursor is filed under the name Myotis davidii. RNAcentral's name for it is "mir-9193 microRNA precursor family". It matches the Rfam family "mir-9193 microRNA precursor family". The record is from Rfam by way of RNAcentral. Lineage: Eukaryota; Metazoa; Chordata; Mammalia; Chiroptera; Vespertilionidae.